CUAAUUUUCCAAUAAAAUUAAUUUAUAAUAUUGGAAUUAGUUAAGUUUACCGCCACACCACCCCGUUAGGUACUGUACUGCUGUGUCCCCCAGGACUCAUUUAGACUAAAACUUGGGUUGAAACACGACGACCCUCUUCAAGGGAAGAUGUUGUUUGAUAAUACGGGCGUGAGUCUUCUCACUUUACAAUACUGUAUACUCCAAAAUCCCAUAUUAUCUGGGAGUUAACAGUACUGUAUUAUUAUUCAGGAUCAGAAAUGUGAGUAUUUUCUUACACUGGGUUAAGUAAGGCUGUUGAUUUUCAUAGAUUCAGAGUAGGCUGUGUCGGAAACUCAAUACUGAACUCCCAAACUGAAGACAACUUAUGGAAGGACCACCUUUAAUAGUCUUGAAACCUGAAUUGUCUGCUACUUCAUGAUAAUUACACCAACAAGGACUAUUUUAUAUGUAUUUAAGAAGAGUUUUUGUUAAUGUUAACAUUACAAGUAUCAGAAAAGUCUUGUUUCAUUACUUCUUGUAUAUAACUUGGGUUUUCUGAUAGAGGUUUAAAAUAUAUAGUGGUGCCUUUCAGAUCUUACCUAUUCUAAACCUAGAGAAUCAUAUUGCUGGCCUUAGUGUUAAGUUAAAUGACAUGAAUGAUCCUCUCUGAAACAUCUUGUCCAGUUCACAUUUUAAACUUGCUCUCCCAAACAUCACUUGCACUAACAACCUCCAGUCCACAGAGAAAUAAAAGUAUAAAUGUGCAGUUAGUCAAAAAGCAUCAGUGAGAGCUAGAGUAAUGAACCCAAUACAAACAAUGAUCUCACUCAGUCUCUUAAGUAUGGAGUCCUUGCAGGAAAGCGCUACAAAAUGAUUAUUGAAUACUAAAUCUCUUCUUCCUGUAUGUCCUGCUUACACACAGUAUACAGUAUUGUACUGUACUAGAAAGAAGAGCAUCACAUAGGUCACUCUCUAGUCUCGAAUUUAAAAAUGAACUUUUCUUUUUUUGUUAUUACCUCAACUUCAGUCAAAGUUAGUAUGUUGUGUAAACUACUGUAGGUUACACGGUGUUAGUAUGUUGUGUAAACUACUGUAGGUUACACGGUGUUAGUAUGUUGUGUAAACUACUGUAGGUUACACGGUGUUAGUAUGUUGUGUAAACUACUGUAGGUUACACGGUGUUAGUAUGUUGUGUAAACUACUGUAGGUUACACGGUGUUAGUAUGUUGUGUAAACUACUGUAGGUUACACGGUGUUAGUAUGUUGUGUAAACUACUGUAGGUUACACGGUGUUAGUAUGUUGUGUAAACUACUGUAGGUUACACGGUGUUAGUAUGUUGUGUAAACUACUGUAGUUACACGGUGUUAGUAUGUUGUGUAAACUACUGUAGGUUACACGGUGUUAGUACGUUGUGUAAACUACUGUAGGUUACACGGUGUUAGUACGUUGUGUAAACUACUGUAGGUUACACGGUGUUAGUACGUUGUGUAAACUACUGUAGGUUACACGGUGUUAGUAUGUUGUGUAAACUACUGUAGGUUACACGGUGUUAGUAUGUUGUAUAAACUACUGUAGGUUACACAGUGUUAGUAUGUUGUGUAAACUACUGUAGGUUACACAGUGUUAGUAUGUUGUGUAAACUACUGUAGGUUACACGGUGUUAGUAUGUUGUAUAAACUACUGUAGGUUACACAGUGUUAGUAUGUUGUGUAAACUACUGUAGAUUACACGGUGUUAGUAUGUUGUAUAAACUACUGUAGGUUACACGGUGUUAGUAUGUUGUGUAAACUACUGUAGGUUACACGGUGUUAGUAUGUUGUGUAAACUACUGUAGGUUACACGGUGUUAGUAUGUUGUGUAAACUACUGUAGGUUACACAGUGUUUGUAUGUUGUAUAAACUACUGUAGGUUACACGGUGUUAGUACGUUGUGUAAACUACUGUAGGUUACACGGUGUUAGUACGUUGUGUAAACUACUGUAGGUUACACGGUGUUAGUAUGUUGUGUAAACUACUGUAGGUUACACGGUGUUAGUAUGUUGUGUAAACUACUGUAGGUUACACGGUGUUAGUAUGUUGUGUAAACUACUGUAGGUUACACGGUGUUAGUAUGUUGUGUAAACUACUGUAGGUUACAUGGUGUUAGUAUGUUGUGUAAACUACUAUAGGUUACACGGUGUUAGUAUGUUGUGUAAACUACUGUAGGUUACAUGGUGUUAAUAUAUUGUGUAAAAGGCUUUAGGUUACAUGAAGUUGAUACAAUAUGUUGUAGUCUACCGUGGGUUUCACAAGAUAGUUGCAUUGUGCAGGGUUCAGGUUGCUGCUAAGGUUUCAUAAGGCUGUUAGCUUUUGUCAGUAAUGAUAAGUUGUGUCGAUGUCCUUUUUAUUUUAUUUAUAUUAUUUAUACCCAGUAUCUUGUGUAAGGUCAAGUAAGUGUCAGAAAUAAAAUAUUUGUCUACAGUUCCUGAACUUGUAAUCUUGCUCUUUUAAGUUGGGUAUGUUGAAGAUUGACAAAAUGUGAAGGAAACUACAGUAUUGAUCAUCUCUACUAAGAGUGAACAUAUAUUCAGUUUAACCAGAUCUCCAUUAUCUCAGCACCUACAAGCAUUUUCAUGUAAGUGUAUGAGUUACGUUAUUAUUUGUGCUGUUCUCAAUAUGGUAUUUUACUCGUAAUUUUCGUAUUUUUGAGAUUUGCAAUUAUCUCACUCACCCCCCUACACACACACACACACACACACCUGGCCUGUGAGGUCCAUUCUUGACCAUUACCUAUUAAAGUCUGCAUCAUCAUUGGGUUUACUUUCACUUGUACAUUUCUAGUUGUGUUGAACAUCUUGUUGACAGGCUCCUCAUAUUUCUAGAGAGUAUAAUGAAAUGAGAUGUAAUAUUGCCAGUGUAUAAUGUAGAUUUAGUACAUGAGACUGAGUCCAGCUAGGGUGGAGGUAAAAGUGUGAAUGUGUUGCAAAGUGGCAAUAAAAGUUUGUUUAGUAAGUAAUAUAAUGGUGGUGUCUUGGGGCCUAGGGGGGCAGAUAGGUUUAUGAAGGUAUCUUAGUUCAAGGAUUGGAGUGGUAAGUUGACUUGUAGUGUGUGUGAGUCGGUCAUAUACAGUACUGUGUCACUCAACCCAUAUUAAUAAACUACUCCUGCAAGAUCUUACUACCUCACUAAAUGAGAAUAGUAUAAAGGAUUACACAAAAUACCUCUGUAAUCAACAGUGAACCUGGUUUUUUAGCAGCCACUACUUGAUCAUAAGUAAUACAGUACUAAGUACGUACUGUGCUUCUUUUAUUAUGGUUUCUGUUUUAUUGGAAGACUUUUGUGGAUGUCGUAUUGUCUACUUAUUUUUCCCUAUUCAGUGUAUGUUGUUAUCUUGGCUUACCUUUGUACUGAAGCCAAAUAUGGUUUUACUAAUCACACUAUCAUGUCUAUAGACAUCACAGCUUGUACUAUCUAGUUGUCAACUUACGCUGACCACCAUUGCUAGCCAAUACAAAGUAAAGAUAGAUUGGCCAUACUGCCAUUCUUAAACUGUAUUACCAGUUUCUUAAAGCAUGUUCUACUAUUCAGCACUGGUAAUUCUUUUACCAACUAAUACAGUACUCAUCUAAAUAGCACCACUUGUUAACUAAGUAUUACCUUCUAUUGCAAGUUUUUCCUUGUGCAUUAUUCCCCAUAAAAUAUUUCAAGUGUUACUGUGUUCUUGUACAGUAUUCAGACUUUAUAAAGGGGAGGAAAUAACCGGGCGAGUCUUGCCUCACCAGACAUUCCAGCAGCAUUAACUCCCUGUGCAUUGUUCUGCCACAGUGUCUAGCUGUACCUCCUACACCAGUGACCCUACAAACAUUUUUCUGGGGUAGGGUGUUGUAUUCUGCUCCUGUGAGUCCUUCAGCUAUUUGUAUGAGGGAGAUAAAAGACGGUGGGGUGUUACUGAAGGUGCUCGCUCGUGUCUGGUGGACACGAGUGACACUCUUAAAUCAGUCCCCUUCAUAAUCUUAUAAACAACCUUCUCACUAGGACAGAUAACUUUUGUUUUAUGUCUGUAUAAGCCAAAGUUUCAUUAAAAUAUUGUGUCAGUCAUAUAAUUGUUAAUUAAUAGACUACCUGUGUAUGCCAGUUAAUAGAUUUAUACUGAAGUUCAGUGUUGUCUUACUCUGCAUUGUCUGCAGAGAAGUGAACCAUAGAACUUGAGCCAGUGUUUGUUGUCUCUCAUCUUGUUACAUGCAAUUUUUUACAGCUUUUUGUGUAUUCAGAGUUUUCUGAAUUUGAGUGCCGCCAUCGCUGAAUGUUUUCAUCCAUAUUUCAGUCUGUUUAGAUCAAUAAAAUGAGGCCUAUCAAUAAAGAUUUUAGUUGUUUUUGUUUUUUA
This 4342-nucleotide long non-coding RNA is filed under the name Homarus americanus (American lobster). Its description in RNAcentral is "uncharacterized LOC121869012". The record is from RNAcentral. Lineage: Eukaryota; Metazoa; Arthropoda; Malacostraca; Decapoda; Nephropidae.